UGGGGAAUCUUCCGCAAUGGGGCGAAAGCCUGACGGAGCAACGCCGCGUGAGUGAAGAAGGUUUUCGGAUCGUAAAGCUCUGUUGUCAGGGACGAGAGAGUCUGUCAGGAAAUGGGCAGGCUAGGACGGUACCUGGCGAGAAAGCCACGGCUAACUACGUGCCAGCAGCCGCGGUAAUACGUAGGUGGCGAGCGUUGUCCGGAAUUAUUGGGCGUAAAGGGAGCGCAGGUGGGAAAGUAAGUCAGUCUUAAAAGUGCGGGGCUCAACCCCGUGAGGGGAUUGAAACUACUUUCUUGAGUGCAGGAGAGGAAAGCGGAAUUCCUAGUGUAGCGGUGAAAUGCGUAGAUAUGACGCAGAACUCCGAUUGCGAAGGCAGCUUUCCAGCGCGCUACUGACGCUGAGGCACGAAAGCGUGGGGAUCGAACAGGAUUAGAUACCCUGGUAGU
Molecule: ribosomal RNA, 446 nt
Filed under: uncultured Anaerovibrio sp.
Lineage: Bacteria; Bacillati; Bacillota; Negativicutes; Selenomonadales; Selenomonadaceae
Description: bacterial SSU rRNA
Rfam family: Bacterial small subunit ribosomal RNA
Source: RNAcentral